Homo sapiens (human) is the source of this 148-nucleotide non-coding RNA. It matches the Rfam family "Metazoan signal recognition particle RNA". Rfam says of the family: The signal recognition particle (SRP) is a universally conserved ribonucleoprotein. It is involved in the co-translational targeting of proteins to membranes. NCBI's taxonomy places the organism in Eukaryota, Metazoa, Chordata, Mammalia, Primates, Hominidae. The record is from Rfam.
GCUGGGUGUGGUGGUGCACACUUGUAGUCCCAGCUACUGGGGAGACUGAGGCGGGAGGAUCGCUUGAGCCCAGGAGUUUGAGGCUGUAGUAAGCUGUGAUUGCACCACUGCACUCCAGCCUGGGCAACAGAGUGAGAUCCUGUCUCUU